UACGGUAACCGUGGAGUCUAGGUCAACAAUUACUAUUUCUCAUCCAAGCCGUUUUUGUUUAACUGCUACACAUUCCCUGACUCUGCCAAGGAAAAGGGUAAAAUCAAAAUGAUAUCCUGAGGACCUAAGCACUGAUGAUUCCACCGUUUCAAGAGCUUAAUCACUUGUCACCAGAUUAUGGAAAAAAAAUAAAGAACAAAAAAUUAAAAUUCGAAGAUUGCAACAAGCAAAUUUGCGCCAAAGAAAUUAAAUUAGAUGUCUCAAGUCAUUAUUAAAAUACUUACAUGAAAUAAUAACAUGAUUUUAUGGAAAAGCCCAACAUACUACAUAUUUUAUUUGACUUGUAAAAGCACUUGUUUGUAUAUUACUACUAAUAAACUCUCUAAUCUAAUCUAUUGUA
Molecule: long non-coding RNA, 400 nt
Organism: Anthonomus grandis grandis
Lineage: Eukaryota; Metazoa; Arthropoda; Insecta; Coleoptera; Curculionidae
Exons: 2
Source: RefSeq, a predicted model, not a curated record